RNAcentral lists this transfer RNA (71 nucleotides) under Phrynosoma platyrhinos (Desert horned lizard). Its description in RNAcentral is "tRNA-OTHER". The record is from RNAcentral. Lineage: Eukaryota; Metazoa; Chordata; Lepidosauria; Squamata; Phrynosomatidae.
GCCAGCAUGGUGUAGUGGUUUGAGCAUUGCACUACAACUCUGGAGACCAGGGUUCAAUUCCUUGCGUGGCU